UACGUAGGGGGCAAGCGUUGUCCGGAUUUAUUGGGCGUAAAGAGCGUGUAGGCGGUUUGGUAGGUCCGUUGUGAAACUCGAGGCUCAACCUCGAGACGCCGGCGGAAACCAUCAGGCUAGAGUCCGGAAGAGGAGAGUGGAAUUCCUGGUGUAGCGGUGAAAUGCGCAGAUAUCAGGAAGAACACCCGUGGCUAAGGCGGCUCUCUAGUACGGUACUGACGCUGAGACGCGAAAGCGUGGGGAGCGAACAGG
RNAcentral lists this ribosomal RNA (252 nucleotides) under uncultured bacterium. RNAcentral describes it as "partial 16S ribosomal RNA". It matches the Rfam family "Bacterial small subunit ribosomal RNA", at positions 524 to 776 of the family's 1533-position model. The record is from RNAcentral.